GCCUCCCUCCGCGCCAUCAGACUCCUACGGGAGGCAGCAGUGGGGAAUCUUGCACAAUGGGCGAAAGCCUGAUGCAGCAAUGCCGCGUGAGUGAUGAAGGCCUUCGGGUUGUAAAUCUCUGUCGGCUGGGAAAAACGGAUCUAUGGCUAAUAUCCAUAGGUAGUGGUGGUACCAGCAAAGGAAGAGGCGGCUAACUCUGUGCCAGCCGCCGCGGUAAUAC
This 220-nucleotide ribosomal RNA is filed under the name uncultured bacterium. Its description in RNAcentral is "partial 16S ribosomal RNA". It matches the Rfam family "Bacterial small subunit ribosomal RNA", at positions 307 to 526 of the family's 1533-position model. The record is from RNAcentral.